This 442-nucleotide ribosomal RNA is filed under the name uncultured bacterium. Its description in RNAcentral is "partial 16S ribosomal RNA". It matches the Rfam family "Bacterial small subunit ribosomal RNA", at positions 338 to 795 of the family's 1533-position model. The record is from RNAcentral.
CCUACGGGGGGCAGCAGUGGGGAAUAUUGCGCAAUGGGCGAAAGCCUGACGCAGCGACGCCGCGUGAAGGAAGAAGGCUUUCGGGUUGUAAACUUCUUUUGUCAGGGAAGAGUAGAAGACGGUACCUGACGAAUAAGCCACGGCUAACUACGUGCGAGCAGCCGCGGUAAUACGUAGGUGGCAAGCGUUGUCCGGAUUUACUGGGUGUAAAGGGCGUGUAGCCGGGUUGACAAGUCAGAUGUGAAAUCCUGCGGCUUAACCGCAGAACUGCAUUUGAAACUGUUGAUCUUGAGUACUGGAGAGGCAGAUGGAAUUCCUAGUGUAGCGGUGAAAUGCGUAGAUAUUAGGAGGAACACCAGUGGCGAAGGCGGUCUGCUGGACAGCAACUGACGGUGAGGCGCGAAAGCGUGGGGAGCAAACAGGAUUAGAUACCCUUGUAGUC